UCCUUAACCAUCCCUGGGCUAUAUGGGUUCAGCUCCCCCUGCUAAAAGGGCCUCAGUGCGUGUGGCCGUACGAUUAGGAAAAUAUCCCAUGGAAUGACUAGUACAUCCCAAAAUAAAGUGUGACAUCAUACACACGGUCACCAAGACCAACCUCAUAUCAGCAAACAUGAGUUUCUAGUUUUGGUCCCCCCGGGACCUCCACCUUCCACGGCUUUACUACACACCCCUCCAUCAUUGUCAAAUUAAAACCAAUUUCCAAAUAAUCAAACCAUUAUCCAAUUAUUAACCAAGGCCAUUGAUAAUGGUAUCGUCAUACCAAUCCUUACUUGAAAGUAUCAUCCAUAGCCAACCAUUUAGAGGUUUAAGGGGACUUUCAAGUGCCCUUCCAUGUACAAUAUUAAACGUCUUAGGGGACUUCCAUGCUCCCCACAAGUAUAACUAAUUAACCUUCAACAUUUCCAAACUAUUUAAACCAAUUCCAUUAAUGAAUCACUUGAGGGAUCUCCAUGUAUUCCGCAAGGUUUUCAAAAUAGACCAACUAUGACCACCAAAUCCUUUACCUUCUAAACCAUUAGAAGCCAUUUUAAAUCAUGCCAAACAUUUAAAGAAUUUACAUCAUUUAAACUAUGCAAAACCAUACAAAACCAUUUAGAGUUCCAUUACCAAACGAAACCAUGCAAAAGUUCCAAUGAAAGUUCAACAAUAGAGUAAAAACAUUCUUUGAGGUAUUUUAUCAAACAUGUUGAGGACAUACCAUUACAAAGACCAAAACCAAAGCAUAAACCACCAUAAUUAGGGUUACUCAAGACCCAUUUGUUAAACCAUAACCAAUCAAUAACAACAUAUGCAAACCUUUACCAUAAAUAUGUGAAAACAUAGUUUAAGCCAAUACCAAACCCUAUACAUCAAGAGCCUCAACAAUAUUUUAAAAUCCACCAUUCAUAAUUCAUAAACCAACAUUUAAAACACAAUAAAAAUGCCUUUAUUUGAAAUAACAAUGAGGGAAGGAGUACAUGCCUUAUACAAAAUGACUCACGGAAGAAAUCUUGACCUUUGAUCCCUUCGAAGAACACAUGAAGAAACCCUAGCCUCCAAUCUUCAAGAGAGUGUUUGAGAGAGUAUUUGAUGAGUUUUAAUACUUUAAUAAGUGUUAUUGAAGGCCAUAUAGGGUUAUAUGACAUAAGUACAUAAGGUUUUAGGAGUAGGAAAUGCCCAAAGAACCCCUGACUUUAAAUUCAAACAUGUCACAUCCUACGGUACGAGUUGUACCCCAACUCGUACCCAAAACUUUCCAUGACCAUACCUGCUGGUUUCUAUAUGACUCACACCCCCUUAAAUCGUACCUAAGGGUACAAGUGACACCCCCAAUCAUACCCACUACUUGUAUGUUGGACAGAUUCCAUAAGACAACUCAAACAUGCACCAUACGACUUGUCGUGCACCACUUAUAUGUUCUUAUAUGACUCUUACCUAGUUGAGCUGUAUCUUAGGCACUAUCCAACACCAACAUACUACCCAGGGUAUGAUUGAACCCUCACUACAGCCCAUAAGUCGUAUUCAAGGGUAUGAAUCAUACCUUUGAGUCGUACCAAGUCAAAAAGAUCCAAAACUUGAGAAAUUUUGCAAGGGUCCAAAUCCUAGGGUGUUUCAGUCUCCCCCACUAGGAUCAUUCAUCCUCGAAUGAUAGGUAAGUGUAAAGAUAAGCACAAGGUAACACAUUAACACACAUCAAACUCCCCCUCCCCAACCGAAAUAGAGGACAAGAACAAAAACUAAGAUGAGAAGAUCAUCACAUACCCCAAGCACGAUUUACACCCCUACACCUUCAUCCCGACCUUUAAUUAAGUUAGGAAAAAAACAUGCAAAAGGAACCAUUCGUCACAUUUAACCAAGUUAGAAAACAAGGUUGUGUUGAAGAACACACAUCUUAUGCAUGAAUUUUUUGGAACAAGAAACAAACACGGAUCCUUGGAAUCCAUGUCCACCUCCGGAUCCCGAAUGACUUUCUCAAACUUUUAGCUCUCCCCCCCCCCCCCCAACGCGGCCCCUUCCCCAACGCUUUACUACACACCCCUCCAUCAUUGUCAAAUUAAAACCAAUUUCCAAAUAAUCAAACCAUUAUCCAAUUAUUAACCAAGGCCAUUGAUAAUGGUAUCGUCAUACCAAUCCUUACUUGAAAGUAUCAUCCAUAGCCAACCAUUUAGAGGUUUAAGGGGACUUUCAAGUGCCCUUCCAUGUACAAUAUUAAACGUCUUAGGGGACUUCCAUGCUCCCCACAAGUAUAACUAAUUAACCUUCAACAUUUCCAAACUAUUUAAACCAAUUCCAUUAAUGAAUCACUUGAGGGAUCUCCAUGUAUUCCGCAAGGUUUUCAAAAUAGACCAACUAUGACCACCAAAUCCUUUACCUUCUAAACCAUUAGAAGCCAUUUUAAAUCAUGCCAAACAUUUAAAGAAUUUACAUCAUUUAAACUAUGCAAAACCAUACAAAACCAUUUAGAGUUCCAUUACCAAACGAAACCAUGCAAAAGUUCCAAUGAAAGUUCAACAAUAGAGUAAAAACAUUCUUUGAGGUAUUUUAUCAAACAUGUUGAGGACAUACCAUUACAAAGACCAAAACCAAAGCAUAAACCACCAUAAUUAGGGUUACUCAAGACCC
This 2658-nucleotide long non-coding RNA is filed under the name Capsicum annuum. Its description in RNAcentral is "long non-coding RNA (CANN_LNC014366)". The record is from RNAcentral. Lineage: Eukaryota; Viridiplantae; Streptophyta; Magnoliopsida; Solanales; Solanaceae.